CCUGAGAAACCCAAAAGAUCGAAUGGGGAGAUUCAUCGUCAAUAUGUUUAAUAUUAAUAUAUAUUAUGAUAUAUAAAAAUUUUUUAAUUUUAUAUUAUUAAAUUUUUUAUACAUAUAUAUAUUAUUUUAUUGUUUUACAUUGUCGGCGUGCACUUCUCCCCUAGUAGGACAUCGCGACCCGUUAGAUGUUGGUUUACGACCAAAUUGGGUAGACUUUAUAUAUUAAUUUAUUUUAAUUAUAUAAAGACCAAAUUGUGUUUUCUAACCAAGUAUCUGACGGUAAUCGUAUGGUAUUAAGUCGCAUAAUAAUAUAUUUUUGCGUUCUCUACCCGUCGCAAGCGAGGCCUUUUUUAUUAGUUUACAGACUUUGUGCUGUCUAAUAAAAAUUGUGCCAGCUGUUGGCUGUUUACGGUGUUCUAGAACUGACUUAUUUUUUUUAAAAAAAAAUACCUGUCGGCGAUGCUAUUGCUUUGGGUACUUUCAGG
RNAcentral lists this ribosomal RNA (485 nucleotides) under Diaeretiella rapae. RNAcentral describes it as "partial 28S ribosomal RNA". The record is from RNAcentral. Lineage: Eukaryota; Metazoa; Arthropoda; Insecta; Hymenoptera; Braconidae.